Molecule: RNA transcript, 508 nt
Organism: Camelina sativa (false flax)
Lineage: Eukaryota; Viridiplantae; Streptophyta; Magnoliopsida; Brassicales; Brassicaceae
Source: RefSeq, a predicted model, not a curated record
CGGGGAAGGAGGUUAAUGCUGUAACAUUGGUCUAUUGGGACAUCAAGGAGUAUCCGGUUCCCCCUGGCUUUGAUCCACGUCGGGUCCGUCCGUGCAUUAAUGGGCUCUUGGAAUCUCAUGGCUACUCUGGUCCUGUCACCAUCUACGCCGUUGGCAUACUAACAGACGUCCAUGUUGACAUCCUUCGAGCUCUCUCUUCCUCUGGGAUCAUCCUUUAUUACUCCCCCUUCAGUUCCUCAGCUAUCAUGUCACUUAUGGGUGAGUGGAUGGAUGAGAAUUCACCUCCAGCUAAUAUGUUGGGCAUAUGCUUUCCCAAUGCCUUCCCUUCACCACUUGUAAGUGGAUACAACCUAUUCAGGCCGUUUUCAUUUACUUCUCCUCAAGAAGACGCCAUCACCUGGAUUAACUUAAUUCUGACAGUGUCAGGGACACUUGAGGAGGAUAAAUGCAGUCAAACGGAUCAAUCUGCCAUCUGGUUCUGCUCAAUAUGCCAAGAUCUUUGUGGCGA